This 523-nucleotide ribosomal RNA is filed under the name uncultured Ideonella sp. RNAcentral's name for it is "partial 16S ribosomal RNA". It matches the Rfam family "Bacterial small subunit ribosomal RNA", at positions 8 to 527 of the family's 1533-position model. Lineage: Bacteria; Pseudomonadati; Pseudomonadota; Betaproteobacteria; Burkholderiales; Sphaerotilaceae. The record is from RNAcentral.
AGAGUUUGAUCCUGGCUCAGAUUGAACGCUGGCGGCAUGCCUUACACAUGCAAGUCGAGCGGCAGCGCGGGGCAACCUGGCGGCGAGCGGCGAACGGGUGAGUAAUGCAUCGGAACAUGUCUUGUCGUGGGGGAUARCCCSGSSRAARSCSGRAUUAAUACCGCAUACGCCCGAGAGGGGAAAGCGGGGGACCGCAAGGCCUCGCGCGAUUGGGUUGGCCGAUGUCCGAUUAGCUUGUUGGUGAGGUAAAGGCUUACCAAGGCGAUGAUCGGUAGCUGGUCUGARAGGAUGAUCAGCCACACUGGGACUGAGACACGGCCCAGACUCCUACGGGAGGCAGCAGUGGGGAAUUUUGGACAAUGGGGGAAACCCUGAUCCAGCCAUUCCGCGUGAGUGAAGAAGGCCUUCGGGUUGUAAAGCUCUUUUGUCCGGAGCGAAACGGGCGCGGUGAAUAUCCGCGUCUACUGACGGUACCGGAAGAAUAAGCACCGGCUAACUACGUGCCARCWKCCGCGGUAAUUCA